Prosopis cineraria is the source of this 719-nucleotide RNA transcript. RefSeq lists it as uncharacterized. The record is from RefSeq and is a predicted model, not a curated record. NCBI's taxonomy places the organism in Eukaryota, Viridiplantae, Streptophyta, Magnoliopsida, Fabales, Fabaceae. The transcript has 2 exons.
UAUAAUUUUAUUUUUUAAUAAGUCAAUAAAUGAAAAUAUUUUGAUUCUUCUAAUUAAAAAAAUGAUAAAAAUAUUUAAAAGUCAUUCUGGAAGCUUAGCAGGAACCAUGAGGCGUGAGUCGCAGUGCCUUCAGGAAAUUCCUCCUUCGCUCUCUCACUCUCGCUAUCUUGUUUUGGUUAUCUCUGCUGCGAAAGGACGAAUUUGAAUGGCUUUAGCGAUCAGUCUCCCUAAUAACCUGCUUCUGUGCAAAGCCUCGCGUCGCAAAUUUCCGGUAAAGUCGUACUCUCAGAUUCAGACCAAGAAGCGAUGCUUGCGAUGUAAUACUCUUUACUCCGAUCAAGACAAUUCCCCGAUUGCUUGCUCUUUCCAUGGCCACGCCAACGGUCAUAUUGGGCUUGUCUUCAGCAGAAGCCCAGCCAAACUAGCCCAUGCAGAUGCCUAAAGUUGUGUUGGUGUUGCAUUGCAGGAGACAAAGGGUUGUUCUCAUUUUCGCCACCACACCAAGGGAUAGAUGGGGAGUGGACAGACGAAUCAGGAGUGAUUGUGUACAAAUGGAACGACAGAGACAACAGAACCAACACUGGUCGCUCCAAUUGGAAGAGACGAUGGAGCUGUUGUGCUGAGUACGAUGAGAAUGCCCCUCCUUGUAGACGAGCCUCCCAUGUUUCAUAUGACGAUGGUUUCACUUUGUACUAGUUCUCUCUAAUCUCUCUGUCUCU